Molecule: ribosomal RNA, 496 nt
Filed under: uncultured bacterium
Lineage: Bacteria
Description: partial 16S ribosomal RNA
Rfam family: Bacterial small subunit ribosomal RNA
Source: RNAcentral
AUGAACGCUGGCGGCGUGCCUAAUACAUGCAAGUCGAGCGAACAGACGAGGAGCUUGCUCCUCUGACGUUAGCGGCGGGCGGGUGAGUAACACGUGGAUAACCUACCUAUAAGACUGGGAUAACUUCGGGAAACCGGAGCUAAUACCGGAUAAUAUAUUGAACCGCAUGGUUCAAUAGUGAAAGACGGUUUUGCUGUCACUUAUAGAUGGAUCCGCGCCGCAUUAGCUAGUUGGUAAGGUAACGGCUUACCAAGGCAACGAUGCGUAGCCGACCUGAGAGGGUGAUCGGCCACACUGGAACUGAGACACGGUCCAGACUCCUACGGGAGGCAGCAGUAGGGAAUCUUCCGCAAUGGGCGAAAGCUUGACGGAGCAACGCCGCGUGAGUGAUGAAGGUCUUCGGAUCGUAAAACUCUGUUAUUAGGGAAGAACAAAUGUGUAAGUAACUAUGCACGUCUUGACGGUACCUAAUCAGAAAGCCACGGCUAACUACGUG